This 1515-nucleotide long non-coding RNA is filed under the name Vulpes vulpes (red fox). Its description in RNAcentral is "lncRNA (ENSVVUG00000019881.1)". Lineage: Eukaryota; Metazoa; Chordata; Mammalia; Carnivora; Canidae. The record is from RNAcentral.
GGAAUGUGAAGAUAGGAUCCAUUCUGCUCGUCACUGUGGCCGUCACAAUGGGACACAGGGGUCCGGAAUCCGCGUGGACUGGAGCUGUCCUCAGUCCCUAGUGUGCAACCUGGGCUGGGAGGGUGGUUAGUCCCUAAAGAACGCAGGGGUGAGGUCACGGAGGAGGGGAGGAAGGGGAGCCAGGAGACGGCGUGAGCUGUGCCUUCUUCCUCGUUAGUAGCUGAGAUGGGAUGCGGGAUGCCCGGCCUCAGCCACCAGCACGUCCUCAGUGCCAGAGACCCCUGUACCAUCUUGUUUACUCGUCCCGACAAGCCCCUGACACGGGGGCAGGUGUCCUCUUCAUCUCCACCUCCCUGUGGAACCAUAAGGGACAGAGAGGCUGGGAGACUUCCCCAAUUCCUCUCCCGCCAUCUCUGACACCCACCGUCUACACCGCUGUCCAGGGACCUCUAGUGCCAGGGCCACCUCCCAGCCCAGCCAGCGUCCUCCUGGAGCCACUCGCAGAGCCCGACUGACCGCAGACCUGGCAGCAUUGAAAAACUUCUGGUCCCUCCGAGGCCUCGCCUGACUUUGUAAGGGGAGGGGUCUCGAGUUCUUUCAGCGUCAGGCCCCACCUCCAGGUGGGGGCACCUGCCAGUGUCUGUGUCCCCUGAGUCACGGCCGGGCCAGUCCUUCACACCCACAGGCAGCUCUGCUCUUGCUGUGGCGAUUGCCUUGGGAGAACACAGGCACCCAACCCUGAGGACCCUGGGACACCCACCAUGCAGGCUGGGGCAGGGGUCUGCUGUGGAGCGACAGCCACCAGCCCGACUCCCGCCAGCUUCUUGGGGGAAUGGGACCACGUUGCUAAGUAGGCCACAUCUCCGAGCUUCAGUUCAUCCACCCGGGGUUGGGAGAUGGUACUGGAUGCAACCAUCUCCGUGGAUCCUCUCAGCCCUGGAGUCUGAGACAGGCCCCUUGAGAGCCAAAGGGUUCGACUGUCUGAUGAUUUGGCAGGAGAGUGGUCAUGGUGGGAGCUGGCGUCCUGGGAGAAAAAUCCUGGAGUGAUGGGAUGGAAAGAGGGUUCUUGGCCUUCCGUCUUACCAAGAAUGUGGGCCUGGAGGCUAAGAUGACUUCUAACUAGAUCCUGUCCUUUGAGAAGCUCGGGGACCCCAGGAGUCCGGCCUGCCGGGUCUGCUAGUCUGGGGCAGCGGCCCUCCCCACGGUGCGGCUCCCGCGGCUCACUCCCUGGUCUGUGCCCACAGCCAGUCCACGGGGAGCCUCAUGGAGCCAGACUGCAAGGAAAGACAGGCCUUGUUCGGGACAUUUUGCCCAAGUGCCCCGUGGUGGUUUUCGUGCUGGUCACGGACGCUCUAUCUGGAGUAGCCCAGGUGUGGCAGAGAGGCACCCGCACGCUACACCAGCCAGGGCGUUUUCUGGGCUUUAGGGAUUUCCCUGCUGUUCAUAUUCUGCUUUGCAAUUUGGAGGUACCAUGAUCUUUCACGAGGGUUCAUUAAGACACCAAUAAGAACCCAC